GUCCACGCCCUAAACGAUGUCAACUAGUUGUUGGGUGACUUGUUCACUUAGUAACGUAGCUAACGCGAGAAGUUGACCGCCUGGGGAGUACGGUCGCAAGAUUAAAACUCAAAGGAAUUGACGGGGGCCCGCACAAGCGGUGGAUUAUGUGGAUUAAUUCGAUGCAACGCGAAAAACCUUACCUACCCUUGACAUGCCAGGAAGUUGACAGAGAUGUUUGACGUGCCCGAAAGGGAAUCUGGACACAGGUGCUGCAUGGCUGUCGU
Molecule: ribosomal RNA, 266 nt
Filed under: uncultured bacterium
Lineage: Bacteria
Description: partial 16S ribosomal RNA
Rfam family: Bacterial small subunit ribosomal RNA
Source: RNAcentral